This is a non-coding RNA of Gossypium raimondii (Peruvian cotton), 122 nucleotides long. The record is from Rfam. Lineage: Eukaryota; Viridiplantae; Streptophyta; Magnoliopsida; Malvales; Malvaceae.
AUUAGGAGAAUGACAAAUCAGAUUUCCUCCUGAUUUUCAGCCUUUUCCUCAUGAAAAAAAUUCAAAUUCAACUAAAAAUAUUAAAAAUCAGGAGGAAAAAUCUAAUUUGUCAUUCUCUUUUU